RNAcentral lists this long non-coding RNA (252 nucleotides) under Helianthus annuus (common sunflower). Its description in RNAcentral is "sRNA HanXRQr2_Chr14g0651571". The record is from RNAcentral. Lineage: Eukaryota; Viridiplantae; Streptophyta; Magnoliopsida; Asterales; Asteraceae.
AAGGAUGAAUGUAACAAGAAGCUCCUGGAGAAGUGAUAAUAAUAAAAUCUAACAGAGGCCACAGAACAAAUAAUCUAAGACGGUCUCGGUGCACUCGUAGAUGCAUGAACAACUGAAGUAUCGAUGAUAUUGUCUUGUUCAUCGUCUUGAGGAGGGUUGUUGUUUCUGGUCUCAGUACUCAUGGCUUCUACUUGAGGUGCCUCCAUCUGCUGUGAAGAAGAAAAAGCAAAGUGUUGAUUUGAAAUGGGGUUU